RNAcentral lists this transfer RNA (72 nucleotides) under Camelus bactrianus (Bactrian camel). It matches the Rfam family "tRNA". From Rfam's summary of the family: Transfer RNA (tRNA) molecules are approximately 80 nucleotides in length. Their secondary structure includes four short double-helical elements and three loops (D, anti-codon, and T loops). Lineage: Eukaryota; Metazoa; Chordata; Mammalia; Artiodactyla; Camelidae. The record is from Rfam by way of RNAcentral. RNAcentral also lists the same sequence under 2 other names.
GGAGGUAUAGCUCAGUGGUAGAGUGCAUGCUUAGCAGGCAUGAGGUCCUGGGUUCAAUCCCCAGUCUCUCCA